GACGGACGCUGGCGGUGUGCUUAAUACAUGCAAGUCGAACGAUAAGGUCCCUUCGGGGAUACAUAAGUGGCGGACGGGUGAGUAAUACGUAGGAAAUUUACCUUUAGGUGGGGGACAACACCGGGAAACUGGUGCUAAUACCGCAUAUGUCAUAAUUUGAAAUAGUUAUGAUGAAAGCUCCGGCGCCUUUAGAUGAGCCUGCGUCUGAUUAGCUUGUUGGUGGAGUAAUGGUCUACCAAGGCGACGAUCAGUAGCUGGUCUGAGAGGAUGAUCAGCCACAAUGGGACUGAGACACGGCCCAUACUCCUACGGGAGGCAGCAGUAGGGAAUAUUGCGCAAUGGACGAAAGUCUGACGCAGCAACACCGCGUGAGUGAAGACGCAUCUUGGUGUGUAAAACUCUGUCAGUGGGGACGAAAAAAAUGACGGUACCCACAGAGGAAGCAUCGGCUAACUACGUG
RNAcentral lists this ribosomal RNA (460 nucleotides) under uncultured bacterium. RNAcentral's name for it is "bacterial SSU rRNA". It matches the Rfam family "Bacterial small subunit ribosomal RNA", at positions 28 to 507 of the family's 1533-position model. The record is from RNAcentral.